RNAcentral lists this RNase P RNA (329 nucleotides) under Clostridiales bacterium. RNAcentral describes it as "RNase P RNA component class A". It matches the Rfam family "Bacterial RNase P class A". From Rfam's summary of the family: Ribonuclease P (RNase P) is a ubiquitous endoribonuclease, found in archaea, bacteria and eukarya as well as chloroplasts and mitochondria. Its best characterised activity is the generation of mature 5'-ends of tRNAs by cleaving the 5'-leader elements of precursor-tRNAs. Cellular RNase Ps are ribonucleoproteins. Lineage: Bacteria; Bacillati; Bacillota; Clostridia; Eubacteriales. The record is from RNAcentral.
GCAACCAAGUGAAAUGAUCGCGGCGAAAGCUGAGGAAAGUCCGGGCUCCACAGGGCAGGAUGCCGGCUAACGGCCGGUGAGGGUGACCUUAAGGAAAGUGCCACAGAAAACAAACCGCCUUUCGAGGUAAGGAUGAAACGGUGCGGUAAGAGCGCACCAGCGGCCGAGUAAUCGGUCGGCUUGGUAAACCCCAUCCGGAGCAAGACUAAACAAUGAGGACACAAUGCGGCCCGCAUGUCCUUUGGUAAGUCGCUGGAGGCAUUAUGUGAGUAAUGUCCAAGACAGAUGAUCAUUCUCGACAGAACCCGGCUUACGGCUUGAUUGCUUUA